This 3907-nucleotide small RNA is filed under the name Pongo abelii (Sumatran orangutan). Its description in RNAcentral is "retained intron". The record is from RNAcentral. Lineage: Eukaryota; Metazoa; Chordata; Mammalia; Primates; Hominidae.
ACUCCGCUCCGGACGCGCUCUCGGGGAGGCUUGGACCGACGCGGCCCAGGGCCAGGAAGAUUCCGCGCGUGGACCAGCCGGGCCAGGGCGAUGCUGCGGGUGCGGUGUCUGCGCGGCGGGAGCCGCGGCGCCGAGGCGGUGCACUACAUCGGGUCUCGGGUGCGUGCGCCACCGGCCUCGUCUGGCGGCCGCGUGACUCACUCCGUCCUGCGGGCGGCGUGGAGCACUCGCUCGCUCCCUGCCCGGAGCCGCCGCCUUCCCUCGCUUUUCCCCAGCCGGAAUUGCACGAGAGUGUCCCUUCUGGUAUCCCGGGGAAGCUCAGCUUCAAGAGCCUUUGCAGGCUCCAGGAUCUGGGCGGCGUGCCCCAGUCAGGGGGAACUUGCGUUUCGGCCCCACCCCUUGGGGAUCCACUUGCUGCUGCGCGUCUGCGGCCUGCUGGCCCACGGCGCAGAGGGCGCCGCCCUCCUCUACCGGAGCUUGGUGCGCUGCACCAAGCUUCCCGCUCGGAGCAAGGGGUUGGGACGACGGAGGCUCCUCUUAGUAAAAGAGUGGCGUUAUUGGGGUUCAGUAGCCUGAGUGGGCGUCGAGUUGGGGAGAUUUCUGGAAAAUGCCUGUGGGGUAGAUGGAUGGGGAGAAGAGACAAGCAAAGUGGGAAUCGGGGACGGGGAGCGAGCGACCAGAUUCGCUCCAAGUAUAACAUGGGAUCCCACGUCUGGAGAGGAGUCGGGGCGAGUGCAGCCUGUAAGCAGAGUUUCUAAGCUCCCCGUCCUCGGCUGCCCUGGCAGGAGACCCUCCCAUGCUCCUAGUACUGGAAUCGCUCCGACAUUCUGGCUUCCUCCCAGCAACUGGUUCCUGAACAGCUGUCACUCUCCGUCUUUCUUCUGCCUCCACCCGAGUUCCCCUCCUGCCCACUUCCUAAGGCUUUUAACAGAGCAGGAUAGAGAUUUGGGGGAUUGAGGUUUGCUCAGGGGUUGAGGGACCCUCCCUGCUCUAGAUUUUAUAGGCCAUGCAUUUUUAAAAGGCUUUUGAAGUUUUUAGAUCUCCUUCUUAGUUUGAAUUUACGCCUGAGCUAAUCCUGAUCUUGGCUAGGGUACUGUGGACCAUCUGUAAAAUGGAGCAGAUGGCAGUUGCUCACUCUCAGAAUUGAAGUGCCAAAGAAUGCGAAGUGUAUGUCAAAGAUGAAAAAAAUUUGAUUUGAAGCUGGUUAUUCUUAAAGAUAAGGUCCUUUACAAAUGUUCCCAACUUUUCGUUUGUAAAAAAAUAAAUAAAAAGCCUAAUAUUGGUAACCUUUGAUACUUAAGGGAAAAGGAGGUUCCGUCCCCAGCUGAGACUGGCGGGAAGUUUUAGAGCAGCUGUCUAUGGUUUUCUGAGAGGAGGAUUGACCCAUCUGCGAAAGAGUUGCGUAAAGCUUGAGUGCAGGAAUUGCAUUCUGAGAUAAAGAUGGGGGUGUAUGGUCGCUGGGGACAUGGUCUUCUGAGGAGUUUUAAAGAGUUACAACAAUUAAUAGAUAAGAAGACAAUUUGUAGAUAAACAAGAGGGUUAAAAAAAUUAUCUGUAAUCCCACUACCCACCUACACACUAUUAACAUCUUGGUUUACGCUCUUCUAAAGGGGUUUAAGUGGCAAUGUUAUGCUGGAUUUUUACCCCAUCUCCACUUCCUCCUCUCUGCAAGUACUGAUAGAGCAAUGCAAUACAAUAAUCUUUUCUUUGUUCUUGGAAGCUUGGACGAACCUUGACAGGAUGGGUGCAGCGAACUUUCCAGAGCACCCAGGCAGCUACGGCUUCCUCCCGGAACUCCUCUGCAGCUGACGACAAGGCCACUGAGCCUCUGCCCAAGGACUGCCCUGUCUCUUCUUACAACGAAUGGGACCCCUUAGAGGAAGUGAUAGUGGGCAGAGCAGAAAACGCCUGUGUUCCACCGUUCACCAUCGAGGUGAAGGCCAACACAAAUGAAAAGUACUGGCCAUUUUACCAGAAGCAUGGAGGGCAUUAUUUUCCCAAAGAUCAUUUGAAAAAGGCUGUUGCUGAAAUUGAAGAAAUGUGCAAUAUUUUAAAAAUGGAAGGAGUGACAGUAAGGAGGCCUGACCCCAUUGACUGGUCAUUGAAGUAUAAAACUCCUGAUUUUGAGUCUACGGGUUUAUACAGUGCAAUGCCUCGAGACAUCCUGAUAGUUGUGGGCAAUGAGAUUAUCGAGGCUCCCAUGGCAUGGCGUUCACGCUUCUUUGAGUACCGAGCGUACAGGUCAAUUAUCAAAGACUACUUCCACCGUGGUGCCAAGUGGACAACAGCUCCUAAGCCCACAAUGGCUGAUGAGCUUUAUAACCAGGAUUAUCCCAUCCACUCUAUAGAAGACAGACACAAAUUGGCUGCUCAGGGAAAAUUUGUGACAACUGAGUUUGAGCCAUGCUUUGAUGCUGCUGACUUCAUUCGAGCUGGAAGAGAUAUUUUUGCACAGAGAAGCCAGGUUACAAACUACUUAGGCAUUGAAUGGAUGCGUAGGCAUCUUGCUCCAGACUACAGAGUUCAUAUCAUCUCCUUUAAAGAUCCCAAUCCCAUGCAUAUUGAUGCUACCUUCAACAUCAUUGGACCUGGUAUUGUGCUUUCCAACCCUGACCGACCAUGUCACCAGAUUGAUCUUUUCAAGAAAGCAGGAUGGACUAUCAUUACUCCGCCAACACCAAUCAUCCCAGAUGAUCAUCCACUCUGGAUGUCAUCCAAAUGGCUUUCCAUGAAUGUCUUAAUGCUAGAUGAAAAACGUGUUAUGGUGGAUGCCAAUGAAGUUCCAAUUCAAAAGAUGUUUGAAAAGCUGGGUAUCACUACCAUUAAAGUUAACAUUCGUAAUGCCAAUUCCCUGGGAGGAGGCUUCCACUGUUGGACCUGCGAUGUCCGGCGCCGAGGCACCCUACAGUCCUACUUGGACUGAACAGGCCUGAUGGAGCUUGUGGCUGGCCUCAGAUACACCUAAGAAGCUUAGGGGCAAGGUUCAUUCUCCUGCUUUAAAAAGUGCAUGAACUGUAGUGCUUUAAACAAUCAUAUCCUUAACAGGGGUCAUAAGCCUGGUUUGCUUCUAUUACUUUUCUUUGACAUAAAGAAAAUAACUUCUGCUAGGUAUUACUUUCUACUCCUAAAGUUAUUUACUAUUUGGCUUCAAGUAUAAAAUUUUGGUGAAUGUGUACCAAGAAAAAAUUAGUCACCUGAGUAACUUGGCCACUAAUAAUUAACCAUCUACCUCUGUUUUUAAUUUUCUUUCCAAAAGGCAGCUUGAAAUGUUGGUCCUAAUCUUAAUUUUUUUUCCUCUUCUAUAGACUUGAGAAUGUUUUUCUCUAAAUGAGAGAAAGACUUAGAAUGUACACAGAUCCUAAAUAGAAUCAGAUAAUCUCUUUUUUUCUAAAGAAGAGAAAGACUUAAACAUACACAGAUCCUAAGUAGAACCAGGUAAUUGUCUCUUUUUCUAAUAAGGAAUUUGGGUAAUUUUUAAUUUUUUGUUUUUUAAAAAAUAACCUAGACUAUGCAAAACAUCAAAGUGAAUUUUCCAUGAAUGUUUUUAAUAUUCUCAUCUCAACAUUGUGAUAUAUGCUACUAAAAACCUUUUCAUAUACAUCUUACUUCAUUUCAAGUGAAUUAUUUUAAUCUUUUCCUCUCUUUCCAAAAAUUUACAGGAAUGUUUAGUGUAAUUGGAUUUCGCUAUCAGUUCCCAUCCUUAAGUUUUGAUAUUCAGUAUCUGAUAGAUACACUGCAUCUUUGGUCAUCUAAGAUUUGUUUACAAAUGUGCAAAUUAUUUAGAGCAUAGACUUUAUAAGCAUUAAAAAAAACUAAUGGAGGUAAAACCUAAAUGCGAUGUGAAAUAAUUUUAGUGUUGAUACUGUAUGUGUAUUUUUAUUCUAAUAAACUUUUGUGUUCCAGAUUG